RNAcentral lists this unclassified non-coding RNA (402 nucleotides) under plant metagenome. Its description in RNAcentral is "partial contains 5.8S ribosomal RNA, internal transcribed spacer 2, and large subunit ribosomal RNA". It matches the Rfam family "Bacterial small subunit ribosomal RNA", at positions 358 to 777 of the family's 1533-position model. The record is from RNAcentral.
GGAAUAUUGGACAAUGGGCGAAAGCCUGAUCCAGCAAUGCCGCGUGAGUGAUGAAGGCCUUAGGGUUGUAAAGCUCUUUUACCCGGGAUGAUAAUGACAGUACCGGGAGAAUAAGCUCCGGCUAACUCCGUGCCAGCAGCCGCGGUAAUACGGAGGGAGCUAGCGUUGUUCGGAAUUACUGGGCGUAAAGCGCACGUAGGCGGCUUUGUAAGUCAGAGGUGAAAGCCUGGAGCUCAACUCCAGAACUGCCUUUGAGACUGCAUCGCUUGAAUCCAGGAGAGGUGAGUGGAAUUCCGAGUGUAGAGGUGAAAUUCGUAGAGAUUCGGAAGAACACGAGUGGCGAAGGCGGCUCACUGGACUGGUAGUGACGCUGAGGUGCGAAAGCGUGGGGAGCAAACAGGA